RNAcentral lists this long non-coding RNA (1046 nucleotides) under Homo sapiens (human). Its description in RNAcentral is "HSALNT0350905". Lineage: Eukaryota; Metazoa; Chordata; Mammalia; Primates; Hominidae. The record is from RNAcentral.
GCAAUUCUCCUGCCUCAGCCUCCCAAGUAGCUGGGAUUACAGAUCAUCUCUCUACUGACCUUUUAGUGGCUUAGCAUUUUGUUGCAAUGCACAAGUGAAGUUGGGAAACAGAGCCAAGUGACAAGCUGUGAAGUAACAGCUCAGCCUUCACAAAGCAAAUGUGCUUUGUGCACUUCCUUGCCAGAGCAGAUGUGGCCUUGGUGGACUGUGGGGAGCAUCAUCUCUCAGGUAAAAAUAAAUUACUAAGAUUAGGACCAAAUGAUGCAAAUCCUUUCAUUUGCAAACAGAUCAUGAACUGGCAGCCAUGUGGAAAGAAGACUAGACUGCGAAUCACUUAGGAUCCCACCCUCGGUUUAGUCUAGAAUACUCUGCGAAUCAGCUUUUUGGCCCUAGGUUAUAGGAUCCAGUUUUUUAGGUGGUAGCAACAUGCUCAAGGAAGAUGCAGCCCCUUCCUCCAGCCUGAGAGAAUAAAGCAUCAUUGGCUUAUGCCAACCAUGGCAAUCCCAUUCCCCUUUUCUCAUGAUUGAUUUGGGAAUGGGCAAGUGACCCAGUUCUAACCAAUGAGACGAAAGAAAAAGUCUAUUGGUCAGCUUAUCUCAGAAGAUUUUUGUUUCCUGCUAUAAAGAGAAACAGUAAGUUCCUUCCUGCCUGACUUAAAUGCAAUUGUGUGCAAACAUGUUACUUGGAGCUACAGCAACGAUUCUGUGACCAUGAGGCAAUAAGCCAAGGACAAAGGAUAGAAUAGUGAAAAGACAGAGUAUUGGAUUUUUUUUAUGAUAUCAUUGAACUGCUGGACCAAUGUGGAACCAUCUACUUUUAGUCUUUCAUGAUUUGUGAGAUGAUUAAACAUUUCUUUUUUUUAGCCAUUAUUUCUUUUCUGUUACUUGCAACUGAAGACAUCCUACAUAAUACAAACACUAUCCAACUUGGAUUGUAAUUUAUCUAUUUUCAGAUCUGUGUGUUCUGUCUUACUGAUUUUUGUAUUCUUAGCACUGAGUAUAAGGCUGCUACUUAGUAAGACUUCAAUAAAUGACUGUUUAAAAAGG